UUAACUUAAAUUUUUGUAUGCAGUUGGAACGUUUGGCUAGGUUUGCCGCUAGGGGCGCUGUUUCAACUACAUACAAAUUUGAGUUA
Molecule: non-coding RNA, 86 nt
Organism: Bombyx mori (domestic silkworm)
Lineage: Eukaryota; Metazoa; Arthropoda; Insecta; Lepidoptera; Bombycidae
Source: Rfam